RNAcentral lists this long non-coding RNA (1404 nucleotides) under Ictidomys tridecemlineatus (thirteen-lined ground squirrel). RNAcentral's name for it is "lncRNA (ENSSTOG00000029465.1)". The record is from RNAcentral. Lineage: Eukaryota; Metazoa; Chordata; Mammalia; Rodentia; Sciuridae.
AUGCCUGUAGUUGGAUUAUCUCUUGCUGGACUGGCCAGGCCCAAGGGGUGGACAUUCUACAAUCUACAAAGUGAGCCUCCGAAAAAGAUCCAUGAGCUUCUGAUGACCAGUGGCGACGUCAGCUCAUCAGAAGUCAGAAGCCGGUAUUGUCUCAAAGACAUGCACCAGCACCCCUGGAAACAGCAGCACCUUGCUGGCUGUAUCAGAACCCUUUUUGGGCAAUCUGUGUCUGUCUGAGACUCUUUCUGAGAAACUUGAAAGGUCCUGCUCACUCCCUCUCCUUUAUUUUGCCUUGCUACUUUUUAAAAGGAGGGAUGCUUUUGCUAUUUUCUUGCCUGUAAAUGUUCUUGGGGAGAAACAAGUGAUGAUUCUUGCACAAGUUCUGUUUCUCCAGAGAAGAUCAGGUCUGCAGUCUCAAUUCAUUCCUGGUAGCAGCAGCCUUCUUUCCCUGGGAACUCCGGGUUGGCAGGCCUAGACCUGCUGCUUCCAGCAACCACACUCCGACUGGCUGGCUGGUCUACAGGUAGCCUCACAUGUCACGGCCUGCAGAGUUGGAGUUGACCUCAGAACAAAAUGCCAGGAAGUGUCAGCUGUUGAAUUUAUCGAGCAGUAAGAGCUCUUCCAGCGGCGCCGAGAAAUGGUUCAUGUGACCUUUUUCCAGUCUACUGCAGAUUGGCUCCCAGAACAAAUCAUGUCAUCAAUUAGUCUUUCUCCAAAUUCCUAUAUCAGCUGCUAAGGAAGAAAAACAGCAAGCUCAUAGGAGGAUUCAGGGGACAGGAGCAACUGCUGAGUCAGAACGACAGCACAGCAUCGGGCGGCUUCUAAGAGGAGGCAUCAGAAGUCCUCCUUCUGCUCCAGUGAUUAGCCUUCUCUUGACAUCCCCCAACAGGGAGAGGUGGGGAGCACAUAAAAGCCAGGGGAAGUGGCUCUGUGAUUGUGAUUGCUUGAGCUGCAGUAGGAAGAGCUCCUUAAGCAGCGAGGUAACCCACUAUCAGGUCUAAACCCACCUGACUCAUCACAAACUGUUCACUAUUCACUUUGUUUUCCAGAGAAGGAAUGCAGCCCGGUGGGGAGAAGGAACCUGGGUGAGAACUCAGUUAACAGACCCACCUUUGCCUUUCUCAUCUGUGAAGUGGAAGCAGUCAUACCUAGAAUCCUCCGGAAGAUUAAAUUGUAGGACAAGUGUGCUCAGCGUCUGUCCACAGAUGGGAGGCUUGACUGAGGAACAGUCGAGCCACUUGGAGGCUUAGCAGUAAUGUCAUUGUCAGAAUGGCUCCCUUUAUCUUCCCUAAAUCUGCAGGUUAAGCCUCUGGCUCAGGUUCACUCAUGGCUGCCAAUGUAUCCCCCAACAGGAUCUGUUUCUGGUUUCAAAGUUCUGAUCACAAUAAGAAAGACAUGCAUAUG